Molecule: ribosomal RNA, 452 nt
Filed under: uncultured bacterium
Lineage: Bacteria
Description: partial 16S ribosomal RNA
Rfam family: Bacterial small subunit ribosomal RNA
Source: RNAcentral
AACGAACGCUGGCGGCAGGCCUAACACAUGCAAGUCGAACGCGUGUAGCAAUACACGAGUGGCGCACGGGUGAGUAACGCGUGGGAAUGUACCGUUUAGUGGGGGAUAACUUCGGGAAACUGGAGCUAAUACCGCAUACGCCCUUCGGGGGAAAGAUUUAUCGCUAAACGAUCAGCCCGCGUGAGAUUAUGGUAGUCGGUGGGGUAAUGGCCUACCAAGCCGACGAUCUCUAGCUGAUCUGAGAGGAUGAUCAGCCACACUGGAACUGAGACACGGUCCAGACUCCUACGGGAGGCAGCAGUGGGGAAUAUUGGGCAAUGGGCGCAAGCCUGACCCAGCCAUGCCGCGUGAGUGAUGAAGGCCCUAGGGUUGUAAAGCUCUUUUAACGGUGAAGAUAAUGACGGUAACCGUAGAAUAAGCCCCGGCUAACUUCGUGCCAGCCGCCACAGUAA